CUACGGGUGGCAGCAGUGGGGAAUAUUGCACAAUGGAGGAAACUCUGAUGCAGCCAUGCCGCGUGUGUGAAGAAGGCCCGAGGGUUGUAAAGCACUUUCAAUUGGGAGGAAGGUAGUGUAGUUAAUACCUGCAUUAUUUGACGUUACCUUUAGAAGAAGCACCGGCGAACUCUGUGCCAGCAGCCGCGGUAAUACAGAGGGUGCAAGCGUUAUUCGGAAUUACUGGGCGUAAAGCGCGCGUAGGCGGACUGUUAAGUCGGUUGUGAAAGCCCUGGGCUCAACCUGGGAACUGCAUCCGAUACUGGCAAUCUAGAGUUUAAGAGAGGAAAGUGGAAUUCCUAGUGUAGCAGUGAAAUGCGUAGAUAUUAGGAGGAACAUCAGUGGCGAAGGCGACUUUCUGGCUUAAAACUGACGCUGAGGUGCGAAAGCGUGGGUAGCGAACGGGAUUAGAUACCCCGGUAGUC
This 464-nucleotide ribosomal RNA is filed under the name uncultured bacterium. RNAcentral describes it as "partial 16S ribosomal RNA". It matches the Rfam family "Bacterial small subunit ribosomal RNA", at positions 339 to 795 of the family's 1533-position model. The record is from RNAcentral.